AUUGAACGCUGGCGGCAGGCCUAACACAUGCAAGUCGAACGGUAACAGGAAGAAGCUUGCUUCUUUGCUGACGAGUGGCGGACGGGUGAGUAAUGUCUGGGAAACUGCCUGAUGGAGGGGGAUAACUACUGGAAACGGUAGCUAAUACCGCAUAACGUCGCAAGACCAAAGAGGGGGACCUUCGGGCCUCUUGCCAUCGGAUGUGCCCAGAUGGGAUUAGCUAGUAGGUGGGGUAACGGCUCACCUAGGCGACGGUCCCUAGCUGGUCUGAGAGGAUGACCAGCCACACUGGAACUGAGACACGGUCCAGACUCCUACGGGAGGCAGCAGUGGGGAAUAUUGCACAAUGGGCGCAAGCCUGAUGCAGCCAUGCCGCGUGUAUGAAGAAGGCCUUCGGGUUGUAAAGUACUUUCAGCGGGGAGGAAGGGAGUAAAGUUAAUACCUUUGCUCAUUGACGUUACCCGCAGAAGAAGCACCGGCUAACUCCGUG
Molecule: ribosomal RNA, 490 nt
Filed under: uncultured bacterium
Lineage: Bacteria
Description: partial 16S ribosomal RNA
Rfam family: Bacterial small subunit ribosomal RNA
Source: RNAcentral